AUGGCCUAAGCUGGAUCUCGACCCCUUUUAGCCACAGCUGAAACUGGAAUGGCUGGGAUGCAGGACACCAAGUCCCAAGGCUGCACAGAGCAACAGGUCCCUGGGCCAGGCCCAGCAUUAGGCCUAUCAAGUGUCAUGCACAGCUCAAGAGGAAAUGCUAUCUGGAAAUCCCCCAACUCCCAUGGAAAUUCCCAGCUGGCUCCCUGUACACUGCAGAUACCUGAAGUGGUUUUGAAGACUGGGCAGCUAAGACCUAAGUGAAGAAGAAUUCCUCCCCUGCAAGGAUGACCAAGAACCCAGCCGCUCUGUUUCCUUCCCGACUGGAGUCCUCUUCUCCACUGGGACCAGCUGUAUCCACCUGACCUCCAAGAGCACUCUCCAUGCCACGCACAGGGCACUGAGUGAACACCCACCUCAUUUCUCCCAGCAUGGAAAGUCAUUCCAGGAAUUCUGUGGGCAGUGGAGAGGCCCUUCCCCUUCCAGCAUGGGAAAGCCAGGCUGGUUGGGAAGCAGCUCAACUCAAGCUGCUGCUGAUACAGGUGCCCUCUCCUAGCCCCUCCCUUGUCCCCACCUGCAUUUCACCUCAAUUUCUAUCUGCAUAUGUGUCAAGUUCUCCCAAAUCCAGCAGCCACCAUGCCUGGCCUCACCA
RNAcentral lists this long non-coding RNA (649 nucleotides) under Homo sapiens (human). RNAcentral's name for it is "non-protein coding lnc-ENPP6-1:2". The record is from RNAcentral. Lineage: Eukaryota; Metazoa; Chordata; Mammalia; Primates; Hominidae.